This 253-nucleotide ribosomal RNA is filed under the name uncultured bacterium. RNAcentral describes it as "partial 16S ribosomal RNA". It matches the Rfam family "Bacterial small subunit ribosomal RNA", at positions 524 to 776 of the family's 1533-position model. The record is from RNAcentral.
UACGUAGGCAGCAAGCGUUGUUCGGAUUUACUGGGCGUAAAGGGCGCGUAGGCGGUGUGUCAAGUCAGGCGUGAAAGCCCCGGGCUCAACCUGGGAACCGCGCUUGAGACUGGCACGCUCGAGUUCGGGAGAGGAUGGUGGAAUUCCCAGUGUAGAGGUGAAAUUCGUAGAUAUUGGGAAGAACACCGAUGGCGAAGGCAGCCAUCUGGACCGACACUGACGCUGAGGCGCGAAAGCGUGGGGAGCAAACAGG